AUUGAACGCUGGCGGCAUGCUUUACACAUGCAAGUCGAACGGUAACAGGCCUUCGGGUGCUGACGAGUGGCGAACGGGUGAGUAAUGCAUCGGAACGUACCCAGAGGUGGGGGAUAACGCAGCGAAAGCUGUGCUAAUACCGCAUGUGAUCUGAGGAUGAAAGCGGGGGACCGAGCAGCAAUGUUUGGCCUCGCGCCUUUGGAGCGGCCGAUGUCGGAUUAGCUAGUUGGUGGGGUAAAGGCCUACCAAGGCGACGAUCCGUAGCUGGUCUGAGAGGACGACCAGCCACACUGGGACUGAGACACGGCCCAGACUCCUACGGGAGGCAGCAGUGGGGAAUGUUGGACAAUGGGCGCAAGCCUGAUCCAGCAAUGCCGCGUGAGGGAAGAAGGCCUUCGGGUUGUAAACCGCUUUUGGCAGGAACGAAACGGUGUCCGCUAAUACCGGGCGCUAAUGACGGUACCUGCAGAAUAAGCACCGGCUAACUACGUG
Molecule: ribosomal RNA, 492 nt
Filed under: uncultured bacterium
Lineage: Bacteria
Description: partial 16S ribosomal RNA
Rfam family: Bacterial small subunit ribosomal RNA
Source: RNAcentral